GCCGGGUGUGGUGGUGCACGCCUGUAAUCCCAGCUACUCAGGAGGCUGAGGCGGGAGAAUCACUUGAACCCAGGAGGCAGAGGUUGCAGUGAGCCGAGAUCGUGCCAUUACACUCCAGCCUGGGCAACAAGAGGGAAACUCCAUCUCCAAAAAAAGAAAAAAAAAAUUGGCCGGGCGUGGUGGCUCAUGCCUGUAAUCCCAGCACUUUUGGAGGCUGAGGCGGGCGGAUCACGAAGUCAGGAGAUUGAGACCAUCCUGGCUAACACGGUGAAACCCUGUCUCU
Molecule: small RNA, 283 nt
Filed under: Homo sapiens (human)
Lineage: Eukaryota; Metazoa; Chordata; Mammalia; Primates; Hominidae
Description: Metazoan signal recognition particle RNA (ENSG00000277900.1)
Source: RNAcentral